This 487-nucleotide long non-coding RNA is filed under the name Triticum aestivum (bread wheat). RNAcentral's name for it is "long non-coding RNA (TAES_LNC006417)". The record is from RNAcentral. Lineage: Eukaryota; Viridiplantae; Streptophyta; Magnoliopsida; Poales; Poaceae.
UGAGAGACAGUGUUCUGGCCUUCUCUGAGAAUGUGCCUGGGACCUCUUCGAAGGAUGUCAUGGAUAUGGUUUUGGUGACGCAGUAUUUUGAUACGAUGAAGGACAUUGGGGCCUCUUCAAAGUCUUCAGCAGUGUUCAUCCCUCACGGACCUGGCGCUGUCAAAGACAUCGCUUCGCAGAUACGAGAUGGUCAGCUCCAGGGCAGGAUGGUUUGAGGAGUGUUGGAAAAUGGAUACCACUUUUAUAUGCAUACUUUAAGUACAUACAGCUUAUUCUUAUACUAUGUGUGAGGUGAGGUUGUGCCUAGAUGGAUGUUAAUAUCAGUACUUGCUUUGGUUGUGCCACCCGUUUCUGUAAAAAAUAUCAGUUGUGCUAUCACUGUGUUCGCAGCUAUUUGUGUAUUGAGAGUGUUAUAUGUUACUAUAUGGUUAUUAUACUAUAAUUUCUACUCCCUCUGUCCCAAAAUAUAAGAACGUUUUUCACACUA